CAAUAUACUACACCGACACAGUUAGCUGGUAAUAUGGUUUAGUAUGCCACCAAUACUGUACUGGCCAGUAUCCAUAUUACUGUGCAGUGAAUCACCCAAGAAACUAAUAAAUAUUGCAUUAAUAAGAUUAGCCAAGAUGAUUGUGAUUGUGAUGUUAGUACUCAGUUUGGUUGUUUGUGUAGGAUCCUUAAAUUCAAUGAGGAGAACUGAACUGGAUUGCGGCUGCUUCUUCCACGUUGAACGGAUCGCGAACUGCUCGAAUCAAAGAAGCAUUGACUUUAAGUGCUUGAGGAUGAGAGCCCCAACAGAGAUAUGGCUGAAGUGGAAUAAUUAUAGUGCUGUUCCAGAGGAACUAUUACACGAUUUCAAUAGCACUAGAAAAAUUGACUUAUCAAACAAUAAUAUACAAGUUUUGCCUGUUGGCAUUUCGGAAUCCCUACCACAGUUAUGGCACUUGGUUCUAGACUACAACAACUUCUCUGACCCAAACGAGCUGCUGCGGAUAAAUAUACGAGGCAGGGCGUCGAUGCAUUAUAAUCCACUUAUUUGCAAUUGCAGCGAUCCCAACUAUAAGCAAAUCCUGAGUCGUGCAAACAACUUAAAAACGACCUUGGUGUGUGUAAACAAUCCAGAUGGGAAGCCCAAAUCGUUUCUGGACAUUUGCCACCAAUCCAACAGUUAUGGUUAUCAAGUACAAGGUGACCAGCGUAUAUGGUGGCCCUUAAUUACAAUCGUGAUAUAUAUUAUAGUCAAUGUCAUCAUUUGCCGUCGAGUGGACUGAAUCAUCAAAUUGUAAUUUUGAAUAAGUAAUAAAGUAUUCCUGCGCCAAUAAAAA
Drosophila montana is the source of this 835-nucleotide long non-coding RNA. RefSeq lists it as uncharacterized. The record is from RefSeq and is a predicted model, not a curated record. The transcript is spliced from 3 exons. NCBI's taxonomy places the organism in Eukaryota, Metazoa, Arthropoda, Insecta, Diptera, Drosophilidae.